UCUACUCUUCAAUUUAAUAUUAAUGAUACUCUUAUAUGUGAAAAAAGAAAAAAAACCCCAGAAAAUACGCAACAUCAUCAUCAAUAUCAUUAUUAUAUCAUCAUCAUAAUCGCCAUCAGAGACAGAUAUAUCUCUUAGCUCUCAUUCUCUCUCUGUUGUUUUUCAGCUUUUCUAGAACAUACCCACAUUUUCCAUCUCUUCUCCUUUGUUUACAUACAUAUAAAAUUAUAAAGCCCAUCAUAUAAGUUACUCUUCAAUCCCUUUCCUCUUUGUUUGUUUCAUCAAAGAUUUGACCGUUUUCCUUUUUGAUCCAUGAUCAUUCCCUAAUUUGGGAUUUAAAUGCAAUUUAGGGUUCCCAAAAUUGAGUUUUUUUCCUGUUUUAGCUGAAGCUGAAGAAGAAUUGUGUAAUUUCAAUCUAAGUCAAAGGGGGCCCUUUUCAUUUUGUGGGUAUUAAGAACAAAAAAAUAUGCUAGCUUUGAAGCAACUCAAGUGUGUGGUGAUUCUUGUUGCUUUGAGUUGUGUAUGUACUGCUAUAUAAUUGGAUUUGGUUUUUGGUUCUUUCUUGGAUUUGAAUGCUGGAAUAGUUGGUUCCCGAGCCAGGGGCUCGGGUUUUGAUUGUAUCAUAUUUUGGGAUAUCAGUACAAAACUUUACCAAUGGCAACUUGUGAUAUGGAAUCUCAACAUCACCAGGAACAAGACCAGUUUUCACCAAUUCGACAAGGGUUUAUGCAGAAAUUCAGGCUCUAUCAAACUUUAUCGAAAUUUUACAUGAUAGGAAGGGACAAAAGUAGAACACACUGGAGAGUGUUGAAAAUUGAUAGGAUGGAGCCUUAUGAGCUUAACAUACGUGAAGAUUCCACUACCUAUACUGAACGUGAGUGCUCUGACUUGUUGAGAAGGAUACACGAGGGUAACAGGUCUACAGGAGGUCUGAAAUUUGUCACUACCUGUUACGGCAUUGUCGGGUUCAUCAAAUUUCUGGGGCCUUAUUACAUGCUUCUUAUCACGAAAAGGAGGGAGAUUGGCGCUAUUUGUGGUCACUCUGUGUAUGCUGUCACUAAGAGUGAAAUGAUCCCGCUUCCAAAUGCCGCAACAAGGUCAAAGAUGGUUAAUUAUAGGAGUGAAAACAGGUACAAGAAACUCCUUUGCAUGGUGGACCUUACGAAGGACUUCUUCUUCAGUUACUCAUACCAUAUUAUGAGGAGUCUACAGAAGAACAUGUGCAAUAAUGAGACUGGACCAGACAUUUAUGAGACCAUGUUUGUCUGGAAUGAAUAUCUGACGCGUACAGUACGAAAUCUCCUUCACAACACUACUUGGACAGUGGCAUUGGUUUAUGGAUUCUUCAAGCAGGUGAUUCAUCUGGAUACUUUGUCUCUCUCUGGGCGGGACUUCAAGUUGACUCUAAUAGCAAGACGUUCACGUCAUUAUGCUGGUACCAGAUAUCUGAAACGAGGCGUAAAUGAAAAGGGUAGAGUUGCAAAUGAUGUUGAGACUGAGCAGAUUCUAUUUGAGGAUGUUCCAGAAGAUUUCCCAGUGCAUAUUAGUUCUGCUGUUCAAAAUCGUGGGUCUAUCCCGCUCUUUUGGUCUCAGGAAACUUCACGACUAAAUAUCAAGCCCGAUAUUAUAUUGUCAAAGAGGGACCAGACAUAUGAAGCUACGAGACUUCAUUUCGAGGAUCUUGCUAAGAGAUAUGGGAACCCCAUCAUUAUUUUGGAUCUGAUUAAGACCCAAGAAAAAAAGCCUCGGGAGUCUAUCCUUCGCACCGAAUUUGCUAAUGCAAUUGAAUACAUCAAUAAAGAUCUGUCUGAGGAGAAUCGACUUAGAUUUCUCCACUGGGAUUUGAACAAGCAUUCACGAAGCAAAGCUACAAAUGUCUUGUUUUCUCUGGGAAAAGUGGCUACAUAUGCAUUGAAUUUGACUGGUUUCUUCUAUUGUCAAGUAACACCAGCCUUAAGAUCUGAGGGAUGUCUGAAAUGGCCCAUAUUUGAGAAUGCUGCUGCUAGUAAUAUGGUUCCUUUGAAACAUUUUGACCCUGAUGUUGAGAAACAAUAUAAUAAUGACGUCGAUGACUCAGAUAACUCAGAGGGAAAAUCUAGUGGAUGUAAUAAUGUGAGUAAUGGCUAUCCUUCAAUGAAACCACCAAUGUUCCAAGGGGGGGUGCUAAGGACAAAUUGCAUAGAUUGUCUGGAUCGUACUAACGUGGCACAAUCUGCAUAUGGAUUGGCUGCUUUGGGUCAUCAACUCCAUGUUUUAGGAGUUACAAAUUCAACAAAGAUAGACCUUGAUGAUCCUUUGGCAGAAGAAUUAACGGGGUUCUAUCAGAGGAUGGGUGAUACACUUGCUCAUCAAUAUGGUGGCUCUGCAGCUCACAGCAAGAUAUUUUCAGCGAAGAGGGGCCAGUGGAAAGCUGCAAUUCAAUCGCAGGAGUUCUUUAGAACUCUUCAGAGAUAUUACAGCAAUGCCUACAUGGAUACAGAAAAACAAAAUGCUAUUAAUGUGUUUUUGGGACACUUUCAGCCGCAAGAGGGUGGACGUGAUAUAUGGGAACUGGACUCCGAUCAGCAUUACUUUGUGGGUAGGAAUGGGGAGAGCUAUGCUGGUGACAAUGGAAGGUCGCUCUUCCAAAGAUCAUUCUCAGAUGGGAAUAUUCUUCAUGAAAGCCAAUUUCCCAUAUCGGCUCGCAGUAUUGGAAAGGGUCUUUCUAAGUCUAACCUGUCUCAUCAGUCAAAAGAAGGGAGCAAAGUGCUCUCUGAAUCGACACCAGAAAUAUCAACUUGUGGAAGUGAUUUGACAUAUUCAAGGUAUGCUCAAACAGUUCCUGCAAGGGAACUUUUUGUAGAAAUGCAAAGAGAUCAAUCCCUGGAACACCGAAAUGCAGAUGCAUAUGACUGCUCCAACUUUGUUGACUUAGAUUGGUUGUCUUCUUCUGGGAAUUCCUGUGAGGAAGAGUUAUUGGACAGGUCAUUGUUCACAAACUCGCCAAUAGGUGGACUAUCAUCAGAGAAUGUUGUCAGUGACAUAGUGGGGGAAACAACAACUCCAUUCUCCAGUGAAGGUGGAUGUAGCAUGAAUGUUGGUAUUUCAGUUACUUCACAAGGAAUCGAAAAUGCUGGAGCAGAGGCAUCCUAUAGUGAUGCCCAGAACUUUGUAGUUGUCGAGGAACUUUCAGAUAGCUUUGUACGUUGGGUAAACUAUGGAGAGACACUGUGUCAUUGAUGCCUCCGAACAUUGUAAUUCAUGCCUUCCUGCGAGUCGUGUUAGUAAACGUGCCGACACCUUCAACUCAUUCUAGCACUGGCAUGCCUCAUGUUUGGAGAAGUGUUGCGGGGACAGUUUAGGAGGAAACACACCAUAUCUGUUGUAUCAGCAUUCUUUUUACAAUAUUUCCUGACUAAGCAACCAUCUAGGCUUGCAUUUAUUUGAUUGUUGAAAUCAUCAGUCUAGUUGGAUACCACUAGUACAUAGCCAACAGUUAUAAAAUUCUUUCUGGAACUCUUUUCACGGAAUGUAGGUUCCAAUGUUGUAAAUAGACAGGUUUGACUUGCUAAAGCUCCAUUCGACAAUUGUAGACCAAUUUUUCAGUGCAAACACAUACUUCCAUAUAUUGGAAGUGACAUCUAAUCGUGAAAUAAUUACAGGUUUGACUUGCUAAAGCUCCAUUCGACAA
Non-coding RNA from Nicotiana tabacum (common tobacco), 3670 nucleotides. NCBI's taxonomy places the organism in Eukaryota, Viridiplantae, Streptophyta, Magnoliopsida, Solanales, Solanaceae. The record is from RefSeq and is a predicted model, not a curated record.